GGCUGCAGCGGCAGCAGUUGGAGCAUCUCACUGCGGGGCUCGGGAAGGAGGAAAGGAGUGAGCAUGUCCUGCUCCUGCAUGUCCCUGCUUAAGCUCAGGACUGGCCCUUCCAGGCCAAGGACCCCAGCAUAGACCCCAGGACAGGGCCCCAAGGAUCCCUGGCUCAUGAGAGCGGCUUGCUGGGCUGCCCCAAGAGAGCCUGAAGGAAACACAUUGUUGAGCUGAGCUGACGUCGCUGUUUCUUCCAGACUGCUCUCUAAAGUGGGCAGCAAUGUGAUCUCAGUUAAAGUCUGCAAGACACUCGGUUCCAGAUAAGCACAGCAUGUCAUUAGCAGCACUGGUAGCGACCGGCCGGCUCCGAUGGUGACGUCCCACUGCCAAGGGGUGGGAGUGGGGAGAGUCUCCACAGAGCUUCGGAGAAGCUGCUAAGAUGGAAAAGUGGAAACUUGGCAGACAGAUCCAGCCUCCCUGGCCACUGGCCCAUGCUCGUGGCUCCUGGAUGGCGCUGCCACGUUCUGAGCAGCUUGGGACAGGUGGAGAUCAGGACUGGCAGCUGCAAGGACACACCAGAGCCACAGAAACUAAAGAGAAUUUCCAAAAGGAGUCUAUGGUGAAGUCUCUGAGGAUGCAAAGAAGACAAGGAGAAUGAAAAUCCAAUGAAAGCCUGAUUGUAUUUGUUGACCUUAAGGAAAGUGAUUUUAUGGUACAGCCUCUCUGGAAGGGAGGGUGUGUUCGCUCACAGAAUGCAAAUACCCUUUGACCCCCUAAUCUUUCUUCUAGGAGUUUCUCCUACAGAUAAACUUAGAAGGGUGCUCAAAUAAGUAAGUUCAAGGAUAUCCUCUGAAGCAUUGCCGUAGUAUAAAAAAAGCACAGAUACCCUCAAAGGACAUCAUUAGGGGCCUGGUAAAAUAAAUUCCACACAGUGGAACACCGUGUAGCUCUUUAGAGAAUAAACAGCUCUCUAUAUGUGAUCUGGA
Molecule: long non-coding RNA, 977 nt
Filed under: Homo sapiens (human)
Lineage: Eukaryota; Metazoa; Chordata; Mammalia; Primates; Hominidae
Description: HSALNT0391981
Source: RNAcentral